This is a non-coding RNA of Poecilia reticulata (guppy), 1308 nucleotides long. The record is from RefSeq and is a predicted model, not a curated record. Lineage: Eukaryota; Metazoa; Chordata; Actinopteri; Cyprinodontiformes; Poeciliidae.
AUAAUACCGCUUUAACCGCCCAUUAAGUACAGCUGGAAGACAGAACAGAAUGAAACAUGCAGCAGCUGUCAUGAAUCCAGCCUAUAAAUGUUGAUGAAAUCUCUUCAUCCAAUCUCUCUGAAGACUUCCUGACAUUUUUCAGAAACAACAUUUCUGAUCUUGGAUUGUCUCCUCUAUCUAAUGUGGAUCCAGUGGCUCCAUCAGUUUGCCAUGCAGUCUUUUAAUGUUUUGAGCCUGUGUCUCUUAGUGAAUUGACAAAAAUUGUUAAAAAGUUAAAGCUUUCUUCAUGCCCUCUGGACCAUGCCCAGGCGUUGGUUUAUAGAUGUCUUUGACUGUAUUGUUCCAUGUAUUGUUGAAAUGGUAAAUGCUUCCCUGAUAUCUGAAUGUUUUCCCACUACUUUGAAACCUGCUGUGGUCCAUCUGCUCAUUAAAAAAAAGUAUGUGUGAAAGUGGGGUGUCCCGUGUCUUUUAUUCCAUGCCCUUCUUUGACCCAGACUCCAGUCGCUGAGCCUUAGGUUCUUAAAGUCCCCUUUGUUUGUUUUGUUGGGUUCAGUAAAUGAUAAAGUUGACAGAAUACAUUACUGUGAGGAAAAAUAAACAUUUCUAUUUGAAACUUGAACUGCGUCUCCUGUCCACAGAGCUGCCAAACUAGAUAACCUUCUAGUUGGUGGUGUGUUUGGAACCGGGCGUUGCUAACUCUCUCAAGUCACUACAAUAGAAUGAGAAUUUCAACUUGGAACAAAACCACAAUUUUCAGUUGUAAAACCCCAAGGCUGUUCUACUGCACCAGCAACUGUGAUCUUUGUUUUUGACUGGACAUUUGGUGCUCUGUUUGAAGCAUGAAUCCUGCCUGAACACAAACAUGAACAUCUGAGACAGAAAGUAGGAACUUCACCUGCUGCAAAUGGAUUCAUUUACAACUUUCGUCUCCACCUCCUCCCCUUGCACACAUACCACACAAACACAGAUCCCCACCCACACCAUUCACCACACAAACACAGAUCCCCACCCACACCAUUCCCCACCCAUCUCCCUGCCUACAUGCACACAUCGACUGAACCUCUGACCAAAGAUGGGCAAACAGCUGGACUGCUCAAAGUUUCUGAAACUGUUACUGACUGGCUGCAGUACAUCAACAUAGAGCAGCUUGGGAAUGUGUGUGUGUGUGUAUGUAUGUGUAUAUUUAUUCUUUUUUCUGUUUAUGGCAUCUGGACUGAAAGCUGCAUCAGCAGCUAAUCUGAGAACUUGUUGGCGUCUGAAAGAACAAAAACUGUGAGCAAAUCUCUGAAUAAAUCAUCUAUUUCUUUA